Streptomyces autolyticus is the source of this 75-nucleotide non-coding RNA. NCBI's taxonomy places the organism in Bacteria, Bacillati, Actinomycetota, Actinomycetes, Kitasatosporales, Streptomycetaceae. The record is from Rfam.
CUUGAUCGAGCCCAGCCACAGCGGACGUCCCUCCGGCCGGUCCUGUCCGUAGGUGGCCAGCAGCGCCUGCGCCUC